RNAcentral lists this unclassified non-coding RNA (87 nucleotides) under Pseudomonas extremorientalis. The record is from RNAcentral. Lineage: Bacteria; Pseudomonadati; Pseudomonadota; Gammaproteobacteria; Pseudomonadales; Pseudomonadaceae.
GUGAGAGGGGGCUUGCCCCCGAUGGCAGUAUGUCAGCCGAUACAUUUCCAGCUGACAGACCGCUAUCGGGGGCAAGCCCCCUCCCAC